UACGUAUGAGGCGAGCGUUGUUCGGAAUUACUGGGCGUAAAGGGUCUGCAGGCUGGGGAGUAAGUCAGGUGUUUAAUACUACGGCUCAACCGUAGAACAGCAUCUGGUACUGCUUCUCUUGAGUUCGGAAGGGGAGGACGGAAUUCCCGGUGUAGCGGUGAAAUGCGUAGAUAUCGGGAAGAACACCAGCGGCGAAGGCGGUCCUCUGGUCCGAUACUGACGCUCAUAGACGAAAGCUAGGGGAGCAAACGGGAUUAG
RNAcentral lists this ribosomal RNA (258 nucleotides) under uncultured bacterium. RNAcentral's name for it is "partial 16S ribosomal RNA". It matches the Rfam family "Bacterial small subunit ribosomal RNA", at positions 524 to 781 of the family's 1533-position model. The record is from RNAcentral.